This 390-nucleotide ribosomal RNA is filed under the name Concinnia tenuis (bar-sided forest-skink). RNAcentral's name for it is "partial 12S ribosomal RNA". Lineage: Eukaryota; Metazoa; Chordata; Lepidosauria; Squamata; Scincidae. The record is from RNAcentral.
UARACAUAAAUAGUAUAAACACAUAUGCUAUUCGCCAGAGAACUACAAGCAUAAAGCUCAAAACUCCAAGGACUUGGCGGUGCUUCAAAUCAACCUAGAGGAGCCUGUCCUAUAAUCGAUACCCCACGUUUUACCUCACCACUCCUAGUAACCCAGCCUAUAUACCGCCGUCGCAAGCCUACCUUAUGAAAGAAGUAAAGUAAGCAAAAAAGUUAACAACAAACACGUCAGGUCAAGGUGUAGCACACGGAGCGGCAGAGAUGGGCUACAUUUUUUCAAAGACAAGAUACGGAUAGAAAAUUGAAACACACACUUGAAGGCGGAUUUAGUAGUAAAAUAAACAAGAAUAAUUAUUUUAAACCUGCUCUGAAGCGCGCACACACCGCCCGU